Molecule: long non-coding RNA, 398 nt
Filed under: Androctonus crassicauda
Lineage: Eukaryota; Metazoa; Arthropoda; Arachnida; Scorpiones; Buthidae
Source: RNAcentral
AACCGGUACGAGGUAAAUUUCUUAGAGAUCAGAAUCAUGGCUUCAGAUGGUAUUUUUAAUACUACGGUCUAUGUCAAACUCCCCGUAACCCCCGUAAUUAUACCUAGGUGGUCUUUUGAUCCUUGGUCAUAUAAAAAAUCCGCAUUUAUUUCGUAUUUUAACCGCUGUUUCACACAUUGUAGUACUCAACCUCUUCGUGAAGCUGAGAUCGAUAGAAUUUUCAAUAUUGGGCAUAAACAUGGUUAUUCCACCAGAUUCAUGCAAGACCUAUUACAUAAAUGAGAGAGAGUUUUCCAAGAGCAGUUUGUCUCCCCAGCACAACCUAGCUCUCUCCCUUCUCCAGAACCUACUACAGUCACGCAGUGCUGGUUCCCUGUGCCAUAUGGGCUCCACUCGAA